RNAcentral lists this ribosomal RNA (378 nucleotides) under uncultured eukaryote. RNAcentral describes it as "partial 18S ribosomal RNA". It matches the Rfam family "Eukaryotic small subunit ribosomal RNA", at positions 592 to 975 of the family's 1831-position model. The record is from RNAcentral.
CAAUAGCGUAUAUUUAAGUUGUUGCAGUUAAAAAGCUCGUAGUUGGAUUUCGGAUGGGAUUUGCCGGUCCGUCGUUACGAUGUGCACUGGCCAGUCCUAUCUUGUUGUCGGGGACUAGCUCCUUGGAUUCACUUCCUGGGACUAGGAGCUGACGAGGUUACUUUGAGUAAAUUAGAGUGUUCAAAGCAAGCCUACGCUCUGAAUACAUUAGCAUGGAAUAACACGAUAGGACUCUGGCUUAUCUUGUUGGUCUGUGAGACCAGAGUAAUGAUUAAGAGGGACAGUCGGGGACAUUCGUAUUUCAUUGUCAGAGGUGAAAUUCUUGGAUUUAUGAAAGACGAACUUCUGCGAAAGCAUUUGUCAAGGAUGUUUNCAUUG